UUUGGUUCUCUUUCUUCAUUAAAUCUUUUGGCACCUAUAGAUCCUUGUUAGAAUAUCCAAAAAUGAAUUUCUAGCCUUUAAAAGUUGAGAACUAACCAUUGCAGGUGUUCUAUGCAAACCUGUAGCUUCUAAAAAUUUUUUGUUGAAACUGUUAGCUGUAGAAUAUUUUACAAGAUUGUAUUGUAUACAAAAAAAUAUGAUAUAUAACAAUACAUCUAAAUAUCAAUAUGGCAGAGUAACAAAGCAUAAUUUUAAAUAAAAAGAUAAUCAAUCAUAUUCUAGAUCUAGUCCUCACCUAUAGAGACUUCUAGGAUAGAGGAAGAGCUAGUCCUAAAGGAAGGAAAUCCAGCUCUCUUACUCC
This 361-nucleotide long non-coding RNA is filed under the name Elaeis guineensis (African oil palm). Its description in RNAcentral is "long non-coding RNA (EGUI_LNC039192)". Lineage: Eukaryota; Viridiplantae; Streptophyta; Magnoliopsida; Arecales; Arecaceae. The record is from RNAcentral.